GUAGGGAAUAUUGGGCAAUGGAGGCAACUCUGACCCAGCCAUGCCGCGUGCAGGAUGACGGCCCUCUGGGUUGUAAACUGCUUUUAUACGGGAAGAAAAAAUACUACGUGUAGUAUACUGACGGUACCGUAAGAAUAAGGAUCGGCUAACUCCGUGCCAGCAGCCGCGGUAAUACGGAGGAUCCAAGCGUUGUCCGGAUUUAUUGGGUUUAAAGGGUGCGUAGGCGGAUCUUUAAGUCAGUGGUGAAAGCCUGCAGCUUAACUGUAGAAUUGCCAUUGAAACUGGAGAGCUUGAAUGUGGUUAAAGUAGGCGGAAUGUAUCAUGUAGCGGUGAAAUGCUUAGAUAUGAUACAGAACACCGAUAGAGAAGGCAGCUUGCUGAACCAUUAUUGACGCUGAGGCACGAAAGCGUGGGGAGCGAACAGGAUUAGAUACCCUAGUAGUCC
Molecule: ribosomal RNA, 445 nt
Filed under: uncultured bacterium
Lineage: Bacteria
Description: partial 16S ribosomal RNA
Rfam family: Bacterial small subunit ribosomal RNA
Source: RNAcentral